RNAcentral lists this ribosomal RNA (266 nucleotides) under uncultured archaeon. Its description in RNAcentral is "partial 16S ribosomal RNA". It matches the Rfam family "Archaeal small subunit ribosomal RNA", at positions 719 to 982 of the family's 1478-position model. The record is from RNAcentral.
ACACGACUACAUUAGAUACCCGUGUAGUCCUAGCCGUAAACGAUACUCGCUAGGUGUCGGCCACGGUGCGACCGUUGUCGGUGCCGUAGGGAAGCCGUGAAGCGAGCCACCUGGGAAGUACGGCCGCAAGGCUGAAACUUAAAGGAAUUGGCGGGGGAGCACAACAACGGGUGGAGCUUGCGGUUUAAUUGGAUUCAACGCCGGAAAUCUUACCGGGACCGACAGCAACAUGAAGGGCCAAGCUGAAGACUUUGCCGGAUUAGCUG